GACCGCGUAGCUCAGUUGGUAGAGCAUUGGGCUAGUAUUCCAAAGGUCGUAGGUUCGAUUCCCACCGUGGUCA
Paramuricea clavata is the source of this 73-nucleotide non-coding RNA. NCBI's taxonomy places the organism in Eukaryota, Metazoa, Cnidaria, Anthozoa, Malacalcyonacea, Plexauridae. The record is from the annotation of a GenBank genome assembly.